UUGAGGCUCUGCUUUCAACAUAUGAACUAUGAGUUUAGAGCUCCAUAGUACUUGCCUCUCGACCCUCUCAAUCUCGGAUUCGGGUAAUUUCUCUUUUUUCCUAAAAUGUAAUGGGGUUAAUUUACUUGCACAGUAUCCAGAACAAGACGUUCUAAGUUUUUGGUUAGUAAUUAAGGCAAUUCUCAGUUUUGAUUUUGUUGCUUGCAAUUCUGUUUGGUAUUUGUUGCUUGCAGUUUUGUUGUUAUUUUCUUCUGCUGAUUACUUCUUCUAAAUAUAUUGCAGAGAAACUGGGGCCUUGUGUGCAAUGAAAAAAGUUGAUCUCAUUCCUCAUGAUCCUAAAUCUGCAGAAAGUAUAAAGCAAUCGGAAAAUGCUUUAGUUACAUGGUGUUUCUUCAAUGUUGCUGGUUGCCUCGUUUGCAGGAGAUCCAAUAGAGUUGCUGAAGAGAGCGAAAAAGCAAAACUAAAUUUGCCAAGUGAUUCAUCUGUAACGAGACUGGUCACCUGAGCAAGGGCUGUCCUAAGAACCCUCAUGGGAUUUAUCCAAAGCGGAUGAUGCGAUUUGGGACUUGCCUGCCGGUUCUCCCAUCCUAGUCUGGUAUCUAUGUGACCGAUUGUACAAAAUGUACAAGUCGCAGUUUAUUGGAGGUCAGAAAGAGAAAUUUCUGAGGUAUGGAAUCUACAUUAUACUUUAUACUACUGCUCGUACAUCAACUGGUCUUGAAGAUAUUUAGCAUCUCUCAAAUAACAAACUUGUAGUAUGGUAAGAGAAACUUUGGUUUCAUAUGUCUAUUUAAUGUCUAUUUACUUAGCCAAAGCUUGCUUUACACCUUUCAACUUAUAGUUAAUUAGUAUGCCUAUUUGAUGUCUACUGCAUAGGUGGCAUGGAAACUUGUUCACAGUUUGUAAGUGAAUAAUAUUAGUUGUGGAUCACAAUUCUGGUUUCUUAUCCUUUUUCUGGGUUUUAUCUUUUGCAGGUGUGCUCCCAAGGUAUUUUAGCUCAGAAUGGUCAGUGGCCAAAUUUCACUUGCAGGAAGGUCUGCAGCAUAUUGUUGCCUUUGGCAAGCAGAAGAAUACCAUCAUGAUCAUUGGCAUGGAUGGAAGCAGAAAAUGAUGCAAAAAAUGAAGAGGCUGAUAUUGAGGAGCUCAUCAAAGCAGUUGCAGAUCAGGUGGCAAAGUAAUUGUCAAUGGAACAGCAGUUGGAAUGAUAUCUAGGAAUAUGGUUUUAUAUCAGCUUUUGAUUCAACUGUAGCUAGCUAGGAAUGAUUUCUUGUUUGGUACAUUAUCUAGUUACUUGAAUGUAUGGAUGUUUGAAAAAUGGUAAUUGAAUUAUAUGGAUUAGAUUAUUAUUUUUGUGGUAACUACUAUCCAAUAUUCAGUCAUACAACACAAUACAAAACAAUGUGUUGUAUGACUGCAAAAGAGUUCAAAAUUAAGGCUUCUCCUAUAACAGUCAUUGGCUGUUAGCAAAUUUGAUUACAAUAUUCACACCAUAGCUAACCAAAUGUAGCUGUUGUGUGAACUAACAACCAACAACAAAAUAAACAAAAUUCUGUCGUGUGAGAUUGAUAACACACAACAGAAAUAAAAUUGUCUCUAUUGUCUGAAUGCAAUAACAAACAAGGGAGAUAAUUUCACUUUGGUUGUCUGUUACUUAUCUCAGACAACAAAGAAUGAGUUAUAUCUGUUGUGUGUUUUGAGUCUCAGACAACAAAGAAAGAGUUAUAGUUGUUGUGUGUUAUGAAUCUCAGACAACAAUUAAUGAGUUAUAAUUGUUGUAUGUUAUGUGUCUCAGACAACAAAGAGAUAAUUAUAGCUGUUGUGUGUUAUUGAUCUCAAACAACAAAGAAUGAAUCAUAGCUGUUGUGUGUUAUGUGUCUCAGGCAACAAAGAUUGAAUUAUAGCUGUUGUGUGUUAUUGAUCUCAAACAACAAAGAAUGAAUCAUAGCUGUUGUGUCUUAUGAAUCUCACACAACAAAGAAAGAAUUAUAGCUAUUGUGUGUUAUGAAUCUCAGACGACAGCAGAAAUUAUCUUCUGUUGUCUGAAUGGCGAGCACAUCCCUGCACAUGCCAUGACAGGCACCUGCUGCGCAGAAUUCACACAACGGAAAAAUAGCUAUUCUGUUGAGCCAACUACUAUCAGACAACGGUGGAAUUACCGUUGUGUGAUUCUUCAAUCACACAACACUAACUUAGACAACGGUGGACUUCUUCAUCAGACAACAGAAAUCCACCAUUGUCUGAUGAACUUUUUGUAGUAGUGAAUACUCCCACCGAGAGUUUAGGUGCUAUCUAAUAAUAGGAAUAUCUCCACAAAAGGAUGCUUAAUCACGUUGAGAAAUCUACGAAAUCUAAUAGGAAUAUCUACACAAACAUAUCUCCUAA
Molecule: long non-coding RNA, 2382 nt
Organism: Rosa chinensis
Lineage: Eukaryota; Viridiplantae; Streptophyta; Magnoliopsida; Rosales; Rosaceae
Exons: 5
Source: RefSeq, a predicted model, not a curated record